Molecule: long non-coding RNA, 1739 nt
Filed under: Anas zonorhyncha (Eastern spot-billed duck)
Lineage: Eukaryota; Metazoa; Chordata; Aves; Anseriformes; Anatidae
Description: lncRNA (ENSAZOG00000009700.1)
Source: RNAcentral
CGCCGCCGCCGCCCCCCCCGCGCCGCGCUCACCUUUUAAAUUUUCCGCCAUCUUCGCUUUUUUUUUUUUUUUUCCCUUUUCCCCCUUUUUUUUUUUUUUUUUUUUAAUUUUUUUUCCCUCCCUUCCUCCCCGCGCGCCUUCCCUUUCCGCCCGGCGGCCCCCGCGCGCGCGCGAGCGCGCUGCGCUCCCAUUGGCUGCCGCCGCCGCUUCGUUUGCAUCCCUCCCGGCGGCCCCCGCGGCGGCGCGUUUCGGCCCCAAAAAGCCCUUUUUUCACCCAAAUGCCGGUGUUUUCGCCGCUCCCGUCGCUGCCUACGUGGGGGGCGCCACCCCCCCGAGCCGUUAAGUCGGGGGCCCGUCACUCCGUGCCCCUCGCCCUAACCUUGAUUCCUCGCCUCACGGCGGCUCGGAGGCUGCCGGCGGGGCUGAGGAGCGGCGCCUGCAGCCCGCCCUGGCCCUGGAUGAAGUCGUAGAUGAGCCGCGAGGUCUCGGCGUCCGCCAGCUGCGCCUCGCUGAUGCCCGCCCGCGAGAACAGCGCCCGCAGUACAGGCUGUGAUCUCCGUACCCGCUCCCAGUCUAUACUGGGAGAUGACCAGUGCGAACUGGGAGCCCCACACCCCUUCCCAGUAGGAACUGGGAGGCUGAUCCCAAGCCCCAGUCCCACUGGAACCCUCCCAGUCCAUACUGGGAGGCUGCAGACUGGUCACGGGNNNNNNNNNNGGCUCCGUGUCCUCGCCCCCACCCCCCCCCGCGGGGGGGGGGGGGGGGCAAUAAAUAAAGAGGGGGGGGAAAGCAACCGGGGGGCGUGGGAACCGGUCUGUACUGGUCCAUACUGGGAGGACCCGUUUGUGCAAUGAGAUCCCAGCUGGGGCACCCUACUGGUCCAUACUGGUCCAUACUGGGAGGACACAAGGCCACGCGGGUGAAGAAAUAAAUCCUGGGCACGAUGCUGUACUGGUCCGUACUGGUCUGUACUGGUCCGUACUGGGAGGACACAAGGCCACGUGGGUGAAGAGUCCCCAGUUGGGUGCUGUACUGGUCCAUACUGGUUGGCACUGGGGUAGUUCUGGCUGUGCCGAUGGAGUGAUCCCAGUUGGGAUCUCAUACUGGUCCAUAAUGGUCCAUACUGGUCUGACUGCGGGCGCAGCGUGUGCGGGGCUCCCAGUUGGGUCCUGGCCCCUUUCCCAGUCCAAACUGGUCUGGCCCGGGGCGACGGAGGCGCAGGAGCUCCCAGCUGGGCUGCUGUAGUGCUUCGUACUGGUUUAUACUGGGGUGUCCGCGGGGGAGGCACUGGGUCAUACUGGGCUGUACUGGGGCAUACUGGGCUGUACUGGGCCAUAUUGUGCCAUACAGGGCCGCACUGGGCUAUACUGGGUCAUACAGGACUACACUGGGCCAUAUUGAGCCAUACUGGGCUAUACAGGGCCAUACUGGGCCAUACUGGGCCAUACAGCCCCCACCGCCCUGUGCCACACUGGGNNNNNNNNNNGGGGAGGCACUGGGUCAUACUGGGCUGUACUGGGGCAUACUGGGCUGUACUGGGCCAUAUUGUGCCAUACAGGGCCGCACUGGGCUAUACUGGGUCAUAAAGGACUACACUGGGCCAUAUUGGGCUAUACUGGGCUGUGUUGGCCAUACUGGGCCAUACUGGGCCAUACUGGGCCAUACAGCCCCCACCGCCCUGUGCCACACUGGGCCCUGCUGGGCCAUACUGGGUGUUCACCCCCCCCAUAACCCCCCCC